This is a long non-coding RNA of Pangasianodon hypophthalmus (striped catfish), 1388 nucleotides long. RefSeq lists it as uncharacterized. Lineage: Eukaryota; Metazoa; Chordata; Actinopteri; Siluriformes; Pangasiidae. The transcript has 5 exons. The record is from RefSeq and is a predicted model, not a curated record.
UCCUUCCCUUUCUUCUUCUCACCUUGUACACUUGUCUGGACACACAUGCUAUCUGCUUAGUGGCUUAUUCAAAGUAGACUAUGAUUCAAACUACAGGAAAUCUGUCCUCCAAAGCUGAUGACAGCCUUCUCUAUUCUCUUCUGCAGAAAAGGCUGGAGCCGCCUAAUUGCUGGGGCUAGAGUGAAAACUAUCAGCAGGCCAUAGGGGAAGAGAUACAGACACACACAAUGGGGGCAGACCUGGGACGAGAGACCCUUAUGGCAACUGCUCCUUAUAGAUUUUGGAACAUGGCUGUGUGGAUUUGUGUCCAUUUAGCCACAAGAGCAUUAGUGAGGUCGGGCACUGAUGUCAGGCAAGAAGGUCAAAAGGAAUAUCAAAAGCUGCCAGACUAUCUGUCUAUGGAAAGUAUCCCAGCACCAGCUUGAGAUAAAGCUAAGUGGGACAAAGGCUUCAUUCUGGUUAUAAUCAACAGGAGACACUGCAAGGACAAAAUGUGUAGUUAGAAUAAUAAAUAACUAAUUUUCUGCAGGUUUAGAUGUAAAUUGAAGAACUGGAUGACCACAAACUGUAGCCUUUUCUGUUAUUCAUACUAGUGGAUAAACCAGUAUUUAUCCAACUAUGCACUACUUUAAUUAUGGAGCAGCAGUAAUGUUGAUUAGCUUUGACAUAGGCGUUGGAUGUACACAUUCCAAUCCCAUAAUUAUAAAGGAUGCAUAAACCACUUAAAUGUCUAGAUGUCACUCAGAUUACAGAAUGAGAUUGGACUAACUGUUACACCCCCAAAGCUAAAUAAUAAUGGAUCUCUUACAGUCUUGUUGUGUAUAUAUUCCAGCAAAGCAUUUUGUGCCAUGUCAUCUUUCAAGCUGACCUCUAUGUUAGUUUAUCAUCAUGGCUUCAGAGUCUUGCUGAUAGGUCAAACAUGCCAAAGGAUCAGCAAUCAAUAAACUUGGAGGAAUAAUUUUACUUGGGUCCUCUCCCCAAGUUCUGGAAGCACACAUCUGCUUCCAAUAUUCCUGCUUCCAGACAGCACACUUACACAAUCACAUACGAGUGACUCCAAUGUCCCAAACACCCCUAUGCACAUCCACCACUCUGCAGACAUAUAUAGGUCUUUAACACCCCACUAGAGGAAUGAAAAACAAGAUGGCGCAGGUCCGGGUAUGUUGUGGUUUUUAUUUUGAAAAAAUUAUAUGCAAACAAAAUUAGUUUUAACUUUAAAACAAUAAAACAAAUUAUGGUAAUGGGGCUAAAAUUAAUGAAAAAUCCUGACUGACCUGGAUGUAUAUCGGCAAUAACUGGGUAGCUAGUAGCAAGAAGAGUGUAAAUUAAAGAUUGUCAUUAGUGAUUCAUGUACUGCUAAUGCAGAUCACUAUGUGCUUUUCAAAAAU